UUUGGUUAAGUUAGAAAGGGCGCACGGUGGAUGCCUUGACACUAGGAGUCGAUGAAGGACGGGACUAACGCCGAUAUGCUUCGGGGAGCUGUAAGUAAGCUUUGAUCCGAAGAUUUCCGAAUGGGGAAACCCACCAUACGUAAUGGUAUGGUAUCCUUAUCUGAAUACAUAGGGUAAGGAAGACAGACCCAGGGAACUGAAACAUCUAAGUACCUGGAGGAAGAGAAAGCAAAUGCGAUUUCCUGAGUAGCGGCGAGCGAAACGGAACAUAGCCCAAACCAAGAGGCUUGCCUCUUGGGGUUGUAGGACAUUCUAUACGGAGUUACAAAGGAACGAGGUAGACGAAGCGACCUGGAAAGGUCCGUCGUAGAGGGUAACAACCCCGUAGUCGAAACUUCGUUCUCUCUUGAAUGUAUCCUGAGUACGGCGGAACACGUGAAAUUCCGUCGGAAUCUGGGAGGACCAUCUCCCAAGGCUAAAUACUCCCUAGUGAUCGAUAGUGAACCAGUACCGUGAGGGAAAGGUGAAAAGCACCCCGGAAGGGGAGUGAAAGAGAUCCUGAAACCGUGUGCCUACAAAUAGUCAGAGCCCGUUAACGGGUGAUGGCGUGCCUUUUGUAGAAUGAACCGGCGAGUUACGAUCCCGUGCGAGGUUAAGCUGAAGAGGCGGAGCCGCAGCGAAAGCGAGUCUGAAUAGGGCGUUUAGUACGUGGUCGUAGACCCGAAACCAGGUGAUCUACCCAUGUCCAGGGUGAAGUUCAGGUAACACUGAAUGGAGGCCCGAACCCACGCACGUUGAAAAGUGCGGGGAUGAGGUGUGGGUAGCGGAGAAAUUCCAAUCGAACCUGGAGAUAGCUGGUUCUCCCCGAAAUAGCUUUAGGGCUAGCCUUAAGUGUAAGAGUCUUGGAGGUAGAGCACUGAUUGGACUAGGGGUCCUCAUCGGAUUACCGAAUUCAGUCAAACUCCGAAUGCCAAUGACUUAUCCUUAGGAGUCAGACUGCGAGUGAUAAGAUCCGUAGUCAAAAGGGAAACAGCCCAGACCGCCAGCUAAGGUCCCAAAGUGUGUAUUAAGUGGAAAAGGAUGUGGAGUUGCUUAGACAACUAGGAUGUUGGCUUAGAAGCAGCCACCAUUUAAAGAGUGCGUAAUAGCUCACUAGUCGAGUGACUCUGCGCCGAAAAUGUACCGGGGCUAAAUACACCACCGAAGCUGCGGAUUGAUACCAAUGGUAUCAGUGGUAGGGGAGCGUUCUAAGGACAGUGAAGUCAGACCGGAAGGACUGGUGGAGUGCUUAGAAGUGAGAAUGCCGGUAUGAGUAGCGAAAGACGGGUGAGAAUCCCGUCCACCGAAUGCCUAAGGUUUCCUGAGGAAGGCUCGUCCGCUCAGGGUUAGUCAGGACCUAAGCCGAGGCCGACAGGCGUAGGCGAUGGACAACAGGUUGAUAUUCCUGUACCACCUCUUUAUCGUUUGAGCAAUGGAGGGACGCAGAAGGAUAGAAGAAGCGUGCGAUUGGUUGUGCACGUCCAAGCAGUUAGGCUGAUAAGUAGGCAAAUCCGCUUAUCRURAAGGCUGAGCUGUGAUGGGGAAGCUCCUUAUGGAGCGAAGUCUUUGAUUCCCCGCUGCCAAGAAAAGCUUCUAGCGAGAUAAAAGGUGCCUGUACCGCAAACCGACACAGGUAGGCGAGGAGAGAAUCCUAAGGUGUGCGAGAGAACUCUGGUUAAGGAACUCGGCAAAAUGACCCCGUAACUUCGGGAGAAGGGGUGCUUUCUUAACGGAAAGCCGCAGUGAAUAGGCCCAAGCGACUGUUUAGCAAAAACACAGCUCUCUGCGAAGCCGUAAGGCGAAGUAUAGGGGGUGACACCUGCCCGGUGCUGGAAGGUUAAGGAGAGGGGUUAGCGUAAGCGAAGCUCUGAACUGAAGCCCCAGUAAACGGCGGCCGUAACUAUAACGGUCCUAAGGUAGCGAAAUUCCUUGUCGGGUAAGUUCCGACCCGCACGAAAGGUGUAACGAUUUGGGCACUGUCUCAACCAGAGACUCGGUGAAAUUAUAGUACCUGUGAAGAUGCAGGUUACCCGCGACAGGACGGAAAGACCCCGUGGAGCUUUACUGUAGCCUGAUAUUGAAUUUUGGUACAGUUUGUACAGGAUAGGCGGGAGCCAUUGAAACCGGAGCGCUAGCUUCGGUGGAGGCGCUGGUGGGAUACCGCCCUGACUGUAUUGAAAUUCUAACCUACGGGUCUUAUCGACCCGGGAGACAGUGUCAGGUGGGCAGUUUGACUGGGGCGGUCGCCUCCUAAAGUGUAACGGAGGCGCCCAAAGGUUCCCUCAGAAUGGUUGGAAAUCAUUCGUAGAGUGCAAAGGCAUAAGGGAGCUUGACUGCGAGACCUACAAGUCGAGCAGGGACGAAAGUCGGGCUUAGUGAUCCGGUGGUUCCGCAUGGAAGGGCCAUCGCUCAACGGAUAAAAGCUACCCCGGGGAUAACAGGCUUAUCUCCCCCAAGAGUCCACAUCGACGGGGAGGUUUGGCACCUCGAUGUCGGCUCAUCGCAUCCUGGGGCUGUAGUCGGUCCCAAGGGUUGGGCUGUUCGCCCAUUAAAGCGGUACGCGAGCUGGGUUCAGAACGUCGUGAGACAGUUCGGUCCCUAUCCGUCGUGGGCGUAGGAAAUUUGAGAGGAGCUGUCCUUAGUACGAGAGGACCGGGAUGGACGCACCGCUGGUGUACCAGUUGUUCUGCCAAGGGCAUAGCUGGGUAGCUAUGUGCGGAAGGGAUAAGUGCUGAAAGCAUCUAAGCAUGAAGCCCCCCUCAAGAUGAGAUUUCCCAUAGCGUAAGCUAGUAAGAUCCCUGAAAGAUGAUCAGGUUGAUAGGUUCGAGGUGGAAGCAUGGUGACAUGUGGAGCUGACGAAUACUAAUAGAUCGAGGACUUAACCAUAUAA
RNAcentral lists this ribosomal RNA (2929 nucleotides) under Bacillus cereus. Its description in RNAcentral is "bacterial LSU rRNA". It matches the Rfam family "Bacterial large subunit ribosomal RNA". The record is from RNAcentral. Lineage: Bacteria; Bacillati; Bacillota; Bacilli; Caryophanales; Bacillaceae.